Non-coding RNA from Cinara cedri, 993 nucleotides. Lineage: Eukaryota; Metazoa; Arthropoda; Insecta; Hemiptera; Aphididae. The record is from the annotation of a GenBank genome assembly.
AAAAAAAACAAUAACUUAUGAUCCAGGCAUUCUCAACGGUUCUCGCAAAUGUAAAUAAGAUCCACAAACGACCUCAGCGCGUAUAUUGCCAUUUCUGUCCCACCAUAGACUCAAUUAAUGCUCGUUUUUUUCCUCUCUUGGUAUCGAAUUUUUCCUCAUGAAUGCUCUUUCAGCGAAUAAUAUUUGUGUAUAAUUAGGCACGUUCAUAGAUUUCUAUUUCAGUCAGGUCUUUAAAUUUAAUUGUGUGAACUUUACCUAUUUACCUUCCAACUUUAGUCAAUUUGAGAACGUUUUUGUCUAAAAUAAUUGUUGAGAUAUUAUAAUAAUCUAUGUUUAAGUCACAUUAACAAAAAAAAAAAAAAAAAAAAAAAAAAAAAGAACUAAAACUAAAUUGAUAUCGAUGAUAAACUAUCAGAAAACCUAUAAUAUGCUAUAUGAAAAACAAAUUAUCAUUUUUAUAUUUUUUAUCGAAAACUCAAAUAAUCAGGUACUAAUUAUUUUAUCAGCUCGUAUUUAUAAAUGUUGAACAAUUAUUUUGUUAUUCUCGAUUUGUUGAGAUAUUAUUAAGAUAAUUCCUGUAAACUUUAUCAAAAAUAGCGGUACGCAUUGAAAAUGUAUAAAACCAAAACAUUCUGAAAAAAUAAAUAAAUAUUCUAAACUAGAUAAAACAAAACGUUAACAAACUUGUCUACCGUUCUACCGUCCACCAACAAUAAUGUACAAAAGCGUAAUACAGGUGUGCGCUACUCAUGUCUAAUGAUUUCCGUGGUCUACCUAAUAAUAAAUAAAAAAUAUACUAUAUACAUAAGUACAGGUGAGUGGUUCGUUUCGUGUACAAUGCAUAUUUGAUAAUGUUUAAAGAGCAAAUUAUAUUGCCGAUCUUCCACACGGGCCUUCUGUAUAUUAUUUAUUGUUCAGUAUAAUGUAUAUAAAAGUAACAUAAAGAAAAAAGGCGGACUUACUUGGCACGAUGGGUGAGCCGCUGUUGUAGGU